Non-coding RNA from Triticum aestivum (bread wheat), 115 nucleotides. The record is from Rfam. NCBI's taxonomy places the organism in Eukaryota, Viridiplantae, Streptophyta, Magnoliopsida, Poales, Poaceae.
GAGUUACUCCCUCCGUUCCGAAUUACUUGUCGUAGGUAUGGAUGUAUCUAGAUGUAUUUUAGUUCUAGAUACAUCCAUUUCUGCGACGAGUAAUUUGGAAUAGAGGGACUAGUUA